RNAcentral lists this ribosomal RNA (502 nucleotides) under uncultured bacterium. Its description in RNAcentral is "partial 16S ribosomal RNA". It matches the Rfam family "Bacterial small subunit ribosomal RNA", at positions 29 to 523 of the family's 1533-position model. The record is from RNAcentral.
AACGAACGCUGGCGGCACGUUUUAAGCAUGCAAGUCGAAUGGCAGCAGGGGCAACUCUGUGAGAAUGGCGAACGGGUGAGUAACACGUAGGUGAUCUGCCUUGAGGAUGGGGAUAGCAUGUGAAACACAGGGUAAUACCGAAUAAGCUGACGGGACUUUGGUUUUGUUAGUAAAGGUGCUACGGCACCGCCUUGAGAGGAGCCUGCGGCUGAUUAGCUAGUUGGUGGGGUAAAGGCCUACCAAGGGUACGAUCAGUAGCCGGCCUGAGAGGGUGUACGGCCACACUGGGACUGAGACACUGCCCAGACUCCUACGGGAGGCAGCAGCUAAGAAUCUUCCGCAAUGGGCGAAAGCCUGACGGAGCGAUGCCGCGUGAUCGAUGAAGGUCGAGAGAUUGUAAAGAUCUUUUCUACAUGAGGAAUAAGUCUGGGAGGGAAUGCCUGGAUGAUGACGUUAGUGUAGGAAUAAGCCCCGGCUAAUUACGUGCCAGCCGCCGCGGUAA